GACGAACGCUGGCGGCGUGCCUAAUACAUGCAAGUCGAGCGAAGUUUUUCUGGUGCUUGCACUAGAAAAACUUAGCGGCGAGCGGGUGAGUAACACGUAAAGAACCUGCCUCAUAGACUGGGACAACUAUUGGAAACGAUAGCUAAUACCGGAUAACAGUAUUUCUCGCAUGAGAGAUAUUUAAAAGUUGGUUAUGCUAACACUAUGAGAUGGCUUUGCGGUGCAUUAGCUAGUUGGUGGGGUAAAGGCCCACCAAGGCGACGAUGCAUAGCCGACCCGAGAGGGUGAUCGGCCACACUGGGACUGAGACACGGCCCAGACUCCUACGGGAGGCAGCAGUAGGGAAUCUUCCGCAAUGGGCGAAAGCCUGACGGAGCAACGCCGCGUGAGUGAAGAAGGAUUUCGGUUCGUAAAGCUCUGUUGUUAGGGAAGAAUGGAUAUGUAGUAACUAUACAUGUAAGAGACGGUACCUAACCAGAAAGCCACGGCUAACUACGUG
This 499-nucleotide ribosomal RNA is filed under the name uncultured bacterium. RNAcentral's name for it is "partial 16S ribosomal RNA". It matches the Rfam family "Bacterial small subunit ribosomal RNA", at positions 28 to 507 of the family's 1533-position model. The record is from RNAcentral.